Molecule: non-coding RNA, 92 nt
Organism: Mycena rebaudengoi
Lineage: Eukaryota; Fungi; Basidiomycota; Agaricomycetes; Agaricales; Mycenaceae
Source: the annotation of a GenBank genome assembly
GGUCUGGGGGUGUAGCUGGAAAUACGUCCUCUUUAUGUAGGCGAAGUUCCUCGAUCAUGAGGAAGUUCCUUGUUCGAAUCAAGGCCAGGCUG